Long non-coding RNA from Melospiza melodia melodia, 1115 nucleotides. RefSeq lists it as uncharacterized. Lineage: Eukaryota; Metazoa; Chordata; Aves; Passeriformes; Passerellidae. The transcript is spliced from 2 exons. The record is from RefSeq and is a predicted model, not a curated record.
CUGAGAAAAUCCCCUGAAAAAUCUGCAAAAUAUCCCCAAAAAUACCCAAUAAAACCUGAGGAAAUCCCCUGAAAAAUCUGCAAAAUAUCCCCAAAAAUACCCAAUAAAACCUGAGAAAAUAUCCCCAAAAAUCUGCAAAAUAUCCCCAAAAAUACCCAAUAAAACCUGAGAAAAUCCUGGAAAAAUCUGCAAAAUAUCCCCAAAAAUACCCAUAAAAGGUGCGGAAAUAUCCCCAAAAAAUCCCCUUGGAGAACCCAAUAAAACCUGCAAAAAUCCCCAGAAAAAAUAGCCAAUAAAACCUGAGAAAAUACCCCAAAAAAUCUGCAAAAUAUCCCCAAAAAUACCCAAUAAAACCUGAGAAAAUCCCGGAAAAAUCUGCAAAAUAUCCCCAAAAAUACCCAAUAAAACCUGAGAAAAUCCCCUGAAAAAUCUGCAAAAUAUCCCCAAAAAUACCCAAUAAAAGGUGCGAAAAUAUCCCCGAAAAAUCCUGAAAUAUCUGAAAAAAAGCCCCAAAAAAAAAACCCAAAUCCCCCCAAAAAUCCUCAAAACCUCCCAAGAAAUCCCCAAAAAAACCCCAAAAUACCCCCAAAAAUAAAAAACCAAAUUCCUAAAAUGCCUCGAAAAAAUCCUGAAAAAAAUCCCAAAAAAUUCCCCCAAAAUUCAAAAAUUCUCCAAAAAUUCCCCAAAAAUAUCAAAAAUGAAUCCCCCAAAAAUCCCAGAAAAAUAAAACAAAAAAAAAAAAAAAAAUCCCAAAAGAUUCUCCAAAAUUCAAAAAGAAAAAUUUUGAAAAAAUCCCAAAACUCCAAAAAUUCAAAAAGAAAAAUUUUGAAAAAAUCCCAAAAACUCCAAAAAUUCAAAAAGAAAAAGUUUGAAAAAAUCCCAAAAACCCCAAAAAUUCAAAAAGAAAAAUUUUGAAAAAAUCCCAAAAACCCCAAAAAUUCGAAAAGAAAAAUUUUGAAAAAAUCCCAAAAACCCCAAAAAUUCAAAAAGAAAAAUUUUGAAAAAAAUCCCAAAAACUCCAAAAAUUCAAAAAGAAAAAUUUUGAAAAAAAUCCCAAAAACCCCAAAAAUUCAAAAAGAAAAAUUUUGAAAAAAUCCCAAAAACCCCAAAAAUUC